UCUGGUGUCAGCCGCCGCGGUAAAACCAGCACCUCAAGUGGUCAGGAUGAUUAUUGGGCCUAAAGCAUCCGUAGCCUGCUUUGUUAGUUUUCGGUUAAAUCCAUACGCUCAACGUAUGGGCUGCCGGGAAUACUGCAAAGCUAGGGAGUGGGAGAGGUAGACGGUACUCGGUAGGAAGGGGUAAAAUCCUUUGAUCUACUGAUGACCACCUGUGGCGAAGGCGGUCUACCAGAACACGUCCGACGGUGAGGGAUGAAAGCUGGGGGAGCAAACCGGAUUAGAUACCCGGGUAGUCCCAGCUGUAAACUAUGCAAACUCGGUGAUGCAUUGGCUUGAUGCCAAUGCAGUGCCGCAGGGAAGCCGUUAAGUUUGCCGCCUGGGAAGUACGUACGCAAGUAUGAAACUUAAAGGAAUUGGCGGGGGAGCACCACAAGGGGUGAAGCCUGCGGUUCAAUUGGAGUCAACGCCAGAAAUCUUACCCGGAGAGACAGCAGAAUGAAGGUCAAGCUGAAGACUUUACCAGACAAGCU
RNAcentral lists this ribosomal RNA (530 nucleotides) under uncultured Nitrososphaerota archaeon. RNAcentral's name for it is "bacterial SSU rRNA". It matches the Rfam family "Archaeal small subunit ribosomal RNA", at positions 451 to 981 of the family's 1478-position model. The record is from RNAcentral. Lineage: Archaea; Thermoproteati; Nitrososphaerota.